This 1310-nucleotide long non-coding RNA is filed under the name Felis catus (domestic cat). RNAcentral's name for it is "lncRNA (ENSFCAG00000041429.2)". Lineage: Eukaryota; Metazoa; Chordata; Mammalia; Carnivora; Felidae. The record is from RNAcentral.
AUGCCUGCUCCCUGCAGGUCCUUUUGGUCAACAGGAAAACAUCAUGUGUCUUUUUCCUGCCAAAUGCCUUCCCGUCCAGUCGGCCCUCCCUCUCCACCCUGUAACCGCACUGCUCCAGCCAGUCUUCUGCGUUUGGAAUUCUCCAGAUGGGCGCAAGAGCCCAGGUGCAGAUGCCGACAAAUGCUUGCAGAUGCUGGUUGGCUUUCCUUAGAACUCUCUCUGCUUUCCUCUUUGGUCUCCAAGCAGCACCAGCACCUGCGAUGUGAGGGCUCUGUAAACAUCCAGCCAGAAGCAUGUGUUAUCGGUGAUACUACACUCUUUCCAGUGGGGGCAGACCAUCUUUUCCCCCACCCGCCUCCCCAUCACUGCAGUGAAGGAAGCCUGCCGCAAAAGAGAGUAUCCUGUGUGAUUCCAUGUACGUAAAGUACAAAAACAGGAAAAACUUAUCUAUGCUGUUGGCAGUCAGGAUACUUUUUUAAUCCUUUGGGGUGGUGGAUGGAAUGGAGCACAGAGGGAUGCUAGGGGCUGGAAAUGUCCUGGAAAUUAGUUACAAGAGUGUUGUUCAGUUUGGGAAAACUCAUUGAGCUGUACUCUUAUGGUCUGUGCAUUUCUCCAUAUAUUACUCUGAUAGAAAAUUGUUUUUUUUUUUAAAGCUACAACAUGUUUUUUUUAAAAGAUUACAUGUACUUAAAAAUUAUCAUUUUGCCUAGGAAUGUAUAUCUGGCUUGAUCUGGGGAGGCAAUCUUUCUGUCUGCUUUGACAGAAACUUCCAUCAGGAUCACUCAACAGCCUAAAAUGGAUACUUUUAGAAUCAACUCCUAAAAACUCAGCACAGACAUUCAUUAAGCGCCUGCCACAUGGGAGAGGUAGGGAGCUCCAUGUUCUGAUGAUAAGAUACAGAAGCUGCUUCUUUUGCUGAGCUGAGAGGAAAAACUGGCUUAUAAAGCAGUUGAACUGCUUGGGACUUAAUCAUAUGAAACUAGACACUUACCUUUCAGCAAAGAUGGCAGAUAACCUGGAACAUCUCUCCUUUGCUAUUUCUGUGGAGUGUGAAUUUUUUUUGAGGUCACUAACCUUGAGGAAGAUGGGCAGUGUGGGACCUGGGAAGAAGGAGAAAGGGUGGGUGGAAUAGACAGAUGCCAAAAAAAGAAGCGGAGGAAAAGGCAAGAGAGGGGAGAGAAGACAUUGCUUCUUCCAUCUGCGUCAACCAGGGUAGAUGAAGAGAUUAAAUGGAUCCAAACUGUCACUCACGACCACUGAAUAACAGAAAGAACAUCUUUUUGCUCCAAUAAAAAGUGGGAAGGAUGGCA